Molecule: ribosomal RNA, 418 nt
Filed under: uncultured Desulfobacteraceae bacterium
Lineage: Bacteria; Pseudomonadati; Thermodesulfobacteriota; Desulfobacteria; Desulfobacterales; Desulfobacteraceae
Description: bacterial SSU rRNA
Rfam family: Bacterial small subunit ribosomal RNA
Source: RNAcentral
AUCAUGGCUCAGAAUGAACGCUGGCGGCGUGCUUAACACAUGCAAGUCGCACGAGAACGCUUCUGCUUGCAGAAGCUAGUAAAGUGGCGCACGGGUGAGUAACGCGUGGGUAAUCUACCUUCGAAUCGGGGAUAACAUUGCGAAAGCGAUGCUAAUACCGGAUGACAUCUAAUGGACUUUGGUUCAUAAGAUCAAAGGUGGCCUCUAUAUAUAANCUUCCGUUUGAAGAUGAGCCCNCGUCCCAUUAGCUUGUUGGUAGGGUAACGGCCUACCAAGGCAACGAUGGGUAGCUGGUCUGAGAGGAUGAUCAGCCACACUGGAACUGACACACGGUCCANACUCCUACGGGAGGCAGCAGUGANNAAUUUUGCGCAAUGGGGGAAACCCUGACGCAGCANCGCCGCGUGAGUGAUGAAGG